Bacillus sp. SJS is the source of this 122-nucleotide non-coding RNA. The record is from Rfam. Lineage: Bacteria; Bacillati; Bacillota; Bacilli; Caryophanales; Bacillaceae.
UCCAUGGCGACGUGGAAUCUGGAGGAAGCCGAAGACAAACCCUCGGUCCGAGGUACACGAAUCACAUUCGAGGUUGGACACUCUAGGACGAGCUUGCAACACAAAGUAAAGUCCAAAAUAUC